AGCCCUGGGGUGUGAGCACGUUAGAUUGCAAGUCUAAAGAAGCAGAAUAAUACUCUGCCGGGGCUU
RNAcentral lists this transfer RNA (66 nucleotides) under Forcipiger flavissimus. RNAcentral's name for it is "tRNA-Cys". Lineage: Eukaryota; Metazoa; Chordata; Actinopteri; Chaetodontiformes; Chaetodontidae. The record is from RNAcentral.